CAAGGAUUCCCCUAGUAACGGCGAGUGAAGCGGGAAGAGCUCAAAUUUGAAAUCUGGCAGUCUUCGAUUGUCCGAGUUGUAAUCUAUAGAGGCGUUUUCCGUGCCGGACCGUGUCCAAGUCUCCUGGAAAGGAGUAUCAAAGAGGGUGAUAAUCCCGUACUUAACACGACCACCGGUGCUCUGUGAUACGUCUUCUACGAGUCGAGUUGUUUGGGAAUGCAGCUCAAAAUGGGUGGUGAAUUCCAUCUAAAGCUAAAUAUUGGCGAGAGACCGAUAGCGAACAAGUACCGUGAGGGAAAGAUGAAAAGCACUUUGGAAAGAGAGUUAAACAGUACGUGAAAUUGUUGAAAGGGAAACGAUUGAAGUCAGUCGUGUUCUUUGGAUUCAGCCAGUUCUGCUGGUCUACUUCCUUGGAACGGGUCAACAUCAGUUUUGUCCGGUGGAUAAAGGUAGUAGGAAUGUGACUUCUCCGGAAGUGUUAUAGCCUAUUAUCACAUACACUGGGUGAGACUGAGGACUGCAGCUCGCCUUUAUGGCCGGCCUUCGGGCACGUUCGAGCUUAGGAUGUUGACAUAAUGGCUUUAAACGACCCGUCUUGAAACAC
This 604-nucleotide ribosomal RNA is filed under the name Trichosporon asahii. RNAcentral describes it as "eukaryotic LSU rRNA". It matches the Rfam family "Eukaryotic large subunit ribosomal RNA", at positions 69 to 662 of the family's 3401-position model. Lineage: Eukaryota; Fungi; Basidiomycota; Tremellomycetes; Trichosporonales; Trichosporonaceae. The record is from RNAcentral.